UUCGUAGGCGAUCUCGUAAGUUACAUUUCAAAUACCAGGGCUCAACCUUGGAAAGGGACGUAAUACUGCGAGAAUAGAAAUACUUAGGGGCUAUCGGAACUUACUAUGUAGGGGUGAAAUCCGUUGAUAUGGUAAGGAACGCCAAGGGCGAAGGCAGAUAGCUGGGAGUUAUUUGACGCUGAGGAACGAAAGCUAGGGUAGCGAAAG
This 207-nucleotide ribosomal RNA is filed under the name uncultured bacterium. Its description in RNAcentral is "partial 16S ribosomal RNA". It matches the Rfam family "Bacterial small subunit ribosomal RNA", at positions 568 to 774 of the family's 1533-position model. The record is from RNAcentral.